Molecule: small RNA, 37 nt
Filed under: Romboutsia ilealis
Lineage: Bacteria; Bacillati; Bacillota; Clostridia; Peptostreptococcales; Peptostreptococcaceae
Description: CRISPR spacer
Source: RNAcentral
UUUAUAGUUACUGAAACAUCCUUAGUUGCACUAGAAC